Long non-coding RNA from Betta splendens (Siamese fighting fish), 1052 nucleotides. RefSeq lists it as uncharacterized. The transcript has 2 exons. Lineage: Eukaryota; Metazoa; Chordata; Actinopteri; Anabantiformes; Osphronemidae. The record is from RefSeq and is a predicted model, not a curated record.
GACGGAGUCCCUGCUAGGAAGUACAACCUACACGAAAAGACUAACUUUUGUGUUAUUAACCACAGAAACCAGAAACUAAGUCGCCAAAGAGAACAUGUUCUACACAGAGUCAUUUCAUUCUCAACAUUCCAGCUGUGAACUUUAGCAGGAACUAAAUCAAACAGUGCCCUCUGCUGGUACUGAGAUAAGAAAUAAUUAUAUUGUGCCAAUAUAAAAUACAAGCUCUUUAUUGUUUGAUAUAAAAAAGGCAGAAAUGUAUUGUCUUUGUAUGAAAGUGUAACAUUUUAUACACUGAUGUUUUUGUUUGUUUAAAUGUAAUAAAAUUUAAUAUGCUUCAAAAUAUAUUCUUAUUCUUUUGGUAUUAAUUAAAUUAAUUAAAUAUAAAUAAUCACUGUGUGUUAAAGCAUCAUAUCAUCUGUGUAUCACCGCUUUCACAUCUGUACCACUGCGCUGUUGUAUUCAUACCUUAUCACCAGAUCCCUCGUUCACCUGCACCAGCCCAUGCUUUGGUUGAACUUUAACCAGGAGCUGUUCGUGCUUUAACGUUUGCUUUGAGCCAACACAAAUACUAGAGCUGCAGAAAACGGAAGAGCUGUUGGAGGUUGGACGCCUCUGUGCUCAAACUGGUGGUAAAGUGUUGACGUGUGUGACUGUGAGCGGAUCGGAACAAUAGCUGACGCCAUCUGUUCUCACACACUGCAGUAUAUUCACAUUGUUACGAGGCACUGAGCCGUGAGUGGAUCAUUUAUCAGGACAUGGCGGUGGAGAGCAUGAUGGAGCAGCAGACGUCCCAGCGAUCCCCUGAGGACUGGGUAGAAUGGUUCCUGCAUCGUCUGAAUCAAGAGCCGUGGGCUCUGGGCGGUGCUGUGGUCAUAGGUGUAUUUUUGCUGGCAACCCUGUCCCUGGUCGUAUUUACCCUCCUGUAUGGAUGUUGCUGCAGCUCCAGGAAAGUCGCCCAGAAGAAGACAGCAUCCAGACAGGAUGGGGUGAUCUAGAGGCGUGAAGCCGCACAUCAUGUAUAUACUAUAUGUAUUAAAUGCAGUUUAACAGGA